RNAcentral lists this ribosomal RNA (551 nucleotides) under Glaesserella parasuis. Its description in RNAcentral is "partial 23S ribosomal RNA". It matches the Rfam family "Bacterial large subunit ribosomal RNA", at positions 984 to 1538 of the family's 2925-position model. Lineage: Bacteria; Pseudomonadati; Pseudomonadota; Gammaproteobacteria; Pasteurellales; Pasteurellaceae. The record is from RNAcentral.
GGGGGCGUGGGUGCUAAGGUCCACGCCCGAGAGGAGAAGAAUGCUGAUCACCGGCUAAGGCCCCGAAAUCCGGGCUAAGUUAAACUAACGAAGUGUGGUCCCCGUGACAGCUAGGAUGUUGGCUUGGAAGCAGCCAUUCAUUCAAAGAGUGCGUAACAGCUCACUAGUCGAGGGACUGUGCAUGGAUAAUAAUCGGGUAUGAAGCCCGGUGCCGAAGCCGUGGGAUGUCUUUUAUGACAUCGGUAGGGGAGCAUUCAUGCGGCCUUGAAGCCCAAGGGACGACCUUGGGUGGAGCUUCAUGAAAAGCAAAUGUAGGUAUAAGUAACGAUAAAGAGUGUGAGAUGCACUCUCGCCGAAAGACUAAGGUUUCCGGGGCAACGUUAAUCGGCCCCGGGUCAGUCGGGACCUAAGGCUCAUCCUAAUGGAGAGGCCGAUGGCAGAAACGGUUAAUAUUCCGUUACUAUCCUUUGGGGCGAUGUGGAGACGGAGGAGUGACACUUCCGCGGGCUGACGGAAUAGCCCGUUAAAGAUCGUAGGCGCCGACGAGGGCA